UACGUAGGGGGCAAGCGUUGUCCGGAUUUAUUGGGCGUAAAGAGCGUGUAGGCGGCCUGACAGGUCUGCUGUGAAAACUCGAGGCUCAACCUCGAGAUGUCGGCGGAAACCGUCUGGCUAGAGUCCGGAAGAGGAGAGUGGAAUUCCUGGUGUAGCGGUGAAAUGCGCAGAUAUUAGGAAGAACACCUAUGGCGAAGGCAGCUCUCUGGGACGGUACUGACGCUGAGACGCGAAAGCGUGGGUAGCAAACAGG
Molecule: ribosomal RNA, 253 nt
Filed under: uncultured bacterium
Lineage: Bacteria
Description: partial 16S ribosomal RNA
Rfam family: Bacterial small subunit ribosomal RNA
Source: RNAcentral